Molecule: ribosomal RNA, 403 nt
Filed under: Verrucomicrobiota bacterium
Lineage: Bacteria; Pseudomonadati; Verrucomicrobiota
Description: Verrucomicrobia bacterium partial 16S ribosomal RNA
Rfam family: Bacterial small subunit ribosomal RNA
Source: RNAcentral
UGGGGAAUAUUGCACAAUGGGCGCAAGCCUGAUGCAGCAACGCCGCGUGAACGAUGAAGGUCUUCGGAUCGUAAAGUUCUGUUGCAGGGGAAGAUAAUGACGGUACCCUGUGAGGAAGCCCCGGCUAACUACGUGCCAGCAGCCGCGGUAAUACGUAGGGGGCUAGCGUUAUCCGGAUUUACUGGGCGUAAAGGGUGCGUAGGUGGUCUUUCAAGUCGGUGGUUAAAGGCUACGGCUCAACCGUAGUUAGCCUCCGAAACUGGAAGACUUGAGUGCAGGAGAGGAAAGUGGAAUUCCCAGUGUAGCGGUGAAAUGCGUAGAUAUUGGGAGGAACACCAGUAGCGAAGGCGGCUUUCUGAACUGCAACUGACACUGAGGCACGAAAGCGUGGGUAGCAAACAGG